GACGAACGCUGGCGGCGUGCUUAACACAUGCAAGUCGAACGGAAAGGCCCUGCUUUUGUGGGGUGCUCGAGUGGCGAACGGGUGAGUAACACGUGAGUAACCUGCCCUUGACUUUGGGAUAACUUCAGGAAACUGGGGCUAAUACCGGAUAGGAGCUCCUGCUGCACGGUGGGGGUUGGAAAGUUUCGGCGGUUGGGGAUGGACUCGCGGCUUAUCAGCUUGUUGGUGGGGUAGUGGCUUACCAAGGGUUUGACGGGUAGCCGGCCUGAGAGGGUGACCGGCCACCAUGGGACUGCGAGACGGAGCAGACGGCUACGGGAGGCAGCAGUGGAGAAUAUGGCACAAUGGGCGGAAGCCUGAGGCAGAGACGCCGCGUGCGGGAUGACGGCUUUCGGGUUGUAAACCGCUUUGGCCUGAGACGAAGCGUGAGUGACGGUAAUGGGUAAAGAAGCACCGGCUAACUACGUG
This 468-nucleotide ribosomal RNA is filed under the name uncultured bacterium. Its description in RNAcentral is "partial 16S ribosomal RNA". It matches the Rfam family "Bacterial small subunit ribosomal RNA", at positions 28 to 507 of the family's 1533-position model. The record is from RNAcentral.